This 255-nucleotide ribosomal RNA is filed under the name uncultured bacterium. Its description in RNAcentral is "partial 16S ribosomal RNA". The record is from RNAcentral.
CUGCUGCCUUCCGUAGGAGUCUGGGCCGUGUCUCAGUCCCAAUGUGGCCGUCCGCCCUCUCAGGCCGGCUACUGAUCGUCGCCUUGGUGGGCCGUUACCCCGCCAACUGGCUAAUCAGACGCGGAUCCAUCGUAUACCGCCGGAGCUUUACACACUGUCCCAUGCGGGACCGUGCGCUUAUGCGGUAUUAGCACCUGUUUCCAGGUGUUAUCCCCCUGUAUACGGCAGGUUAUCCACGCGUUACUCACCCGUCCG